This 72-nucleotide transfer RNA is filed under the name Camelus bactrianus (Bactrian camel). It matches the Rfam family "tRNA". From Rfam's summary of the family: Transfer RNA (tRNA) molecules are approximately 80 nucleotides in length. Their secondary structure includes four short double-helical elements and three loops (D, anti-codon, and T loops). Lineage: Eukaryota; Metazoa; Chordata; Mammalia; Artiodactyla; Camelidae. The record is from Rfam by way of RNAcentral. RNAcentral also lists the same sequence under 2 other names.
GAGGGUAUGGCUCAGUGGUAGAGUGUGCACUGAGUACACACAAGGUCCUGGGUUCAAUCCCCAGUACCUCCA